ACUGUCAUUUCCCUUUAACAGAUGCUCAGAGACUCUGCUGGGAGGCACAGCCUGCAAAAGCAGAAGGAGAAUCCGUUUCCUGCAUCCACUCGAUUGAUCAUAAACUCCCAUCUUCUGCACAGUGAGCCAGGAGGGGCCAAGCCAGACCCCUCCUCUGAACGAAAGCCCUUCUCUUCUCAUGCAGGAUGAAAGGGUAUAAUCCAGUUUGGACAAACAGGAAGUGAUAUCAUCUUUCCUGCCUGCAAAAGAAACCCACGUUGGAUUGACACUGAGCUUUUCAUCAGUACUGCACUACCCAGCAUUUGACAGGAUCAUUGUUUAUUUGUUUGUUUAUAAAAUUUAUUUGCGGUCCA
Pantherophis guttatus is the source of this 353-nucleotide long non-coding RNA. RefSeq lists it as uncharacterized. The record is from RefSeq and is a predicted model, not a curated record. NCBI's taxonomy places the organism in Eukaryota, Metazoa, Chordata, Lepidosauria, Squamata, Colubridae.